UUUCUUGUUCUUUCAGAUCAUGCUGGUGGAAGGGAUAAAGCAGGCAGUUCCUCUUAGGUACACAUUCCGAUCAAGGAAUGGAGGAUAUUGUAAUAGGCUAGUAAAUGGUUUAUGUCCCUAAAAUUCCAAGUAAAAAUAUAUUUGAAAAAAAAAGAUGCAGGUUUAUCUACAAUUCGCAAGAAGUAUUUUUGAAGGCUUGUGGAUGGACACAAGAGACCUACGAGCAACACAUGGCCUAUUCAUACUUCUUUCAGAUCUCCAUUUGCAUGUUCAUGCAGAGAACUGUGGAUUUUGCAUGGGAGGAUCAAGGUGUGAAGGAGAGGAACACAGGUUGACAGCAUUAAUGAAGUUGUCAUGCUUCACUGGCGUUUGUCAAGAUAAUUCCUCAAGCUCUGACUACAUCAGCCUCUGUUGUGAAAGAAAUGAAGCAACAGAAGUGCACUAUGGAGGUGGGCGAGCAAAAGGACCACCUUCUCUUAUAUCAACCCUAUCCAGGAUUUAAGAACAGCCAAAGAAGCUUUGCUCGUGGUUCCUUCUUUCUUCUUUCAUAUCAGAGUGUUGAACAAUUUAAUAUAAUGGACCUAUGUAAUAUAUAAAUAAAAGUCAAACAAAUUAA
Molecule: long non-coding RNA, 616 nt
Filed under: Pogona vitticeps (central bearded dragon)
Lineage: Eukaryota; Metazoa; Chordata; Lepidosauria; Squamata; Agamidae
Description: lncRNA (ENSPVIG00000009106.1)
Source: RNAcentral